AUUAUUCAUGAAUAAGUAUAUACUACCUUCUGAAUGUUUGGAGUAGUACACUAAAAAAAUUCCUUGCAGAAGGAAAAUGUUAUAUCUAAGAUAAGGAGAAUAGAGUAUAUAUGCCCAGGAAAUAUACUUUUAAUGCAUCGUCGGUAGAAGUAUGCAUUUAUUUUCAUGAUACAACCUUUACAUUGAAGGAAUCAUGCACGUACAAAGUUGAACAUCAAAUCAGUUUUCAGUCCACAUCGGACUGAGAUUGCGUGAUUUUGGUAGGGAGAAAAUUUGAAGGAUAUAGAUGCUACUAUGUAUGGUAUUUACAUCGCUAGUCUUGGUUCAAGAAUCAAGAGGAUACAAUACACGGCACGCAUAUAAAAACUAGUACCAAACUGAUGUGUAGCAGGGGGAUAUACCUCGGACGUUGAAUGAUAUAAAAAAAUACCUCGUAGAGUGGUGGCUUAACUAGUAACUAGAGUAUUACAGGACCAAUGUUUGUAUUCAUCAGCGCUGUCGUCAACGAUAGAAAUGCAAAAUUCGUUGUUUCACCAUCUGGGAUGAAAAAAUUGUCUACGCCUUGCCGCCGCCGACACACAUGUUGCACGGCACGCACUUGAUAGAUGUGAAUAGCACAGGUUCCCGGCCACCGCGACUCAGCUCGUAUAUUUCAUCAAGCCUUCGUCGCACGCGUCUCGUCUUCUUUGUCGCCGCUGGCCCGCCGCUAUGGCAUCUCAUCUUUGCCGUCGUGUAGCGAUCGACCGCCCGACUUCAGCACUGAGCGACCUGUAACAAGCAAGAGUAGGAACAUAUGAAUGCAUGAAUUAACAAGAACACUACGUCCGAUUAACUAUGUGGAAGAAAUUAUUAGCUCGUUGAUUUUGACGAUCGGCGCCCGACGCCCAGCGGCCAGCGAAGAUGGUUCCGGCGAGAAUAACCGAGUUGUGAGUCGCUGCCUAUAUGUGGG
Molecule: long non-coding RNA, 949 nt
Filed under: Triticum aestivum (bread wheat)
Lineage: Eukaryota; Viridiplantae; Streptophyta; Magnoliopsida; Poales; Poaceae
Description: long non-coding RNA (TAES_LNC014716)
Source: RNAcentral